RNAcentral lists this long non-coding RNA (3362 nucleotides) under Olea europaea subsp. europaea. Lineage: Eukaryota; Viridiplantae; Streptophyta; Magnoliopsida; Lamiales; Oleaceae. The record is from RNAcentral.
UGUAAUGCCACUAUUGAAAGAGCUAAAACCAUUAUUCCAUCAUUUAGCGCUAGUCACUAAGUUGUUUUUAUUGAAAAUUUAAAAAGUUGGCAAAUUAUUGCUAAUAGAAAAGGCCACUAUUCAUGAACAGCGGAGCAUGAUAUUUAGGCUUCACAUUUUUCUCAAAGUUGGUUAACGCAUUUCAAAGUUUGGCACGAAAGUUUUCCUUUGCAUUUAAUGCAAACAUCAUGCAUAGUCUUUUCUCAAAUUUCAGACAGGAUUAUGAAUGACAUUAAAUUUGCUGAAUGAAUGCGCAUGCAAUUGGAGCAAAUCGUCAAAAUGGAGAAUGAUUACAUCUCGUAGCUAUUUUCAACAAAUAGAAUGUCUAGAAUGAAAUAAAGAUGUGAAGUGUUACACCUACUUAUUUAUAGUCAAAGUCAAGCAAUUCAAUUGGUCAAAAUUAAGCAAAAAUAAGGAUUUAAGUUGAAUAAAUAAUUUUUAUGGGACUUAAAUUGCAAUUACAAAUACUUGAGGGCUAAAAAUGAUAGAAUAAUGGAAACUAGUGAUUGAGUUUCUAUUAUUGAAAAUUUAAAGACUAAAUAUUAUGUUUUAUAAAGAUUGGUGACUUGACUUGCAAUUAUUCAAUAGUUAUACACUAAACCUUAUACAUAUCUAUCCAUUUUCUCAUUUUCGGGGGAAAAAACAGAAAGCAGAGAACGAAACCAUAUAGAAGAUGAAGAAGAAGAAGAAGAAGAAGUGGGCUUUUUAAGCUUGAUGUUUUCAUUUCUCUAUUCUUCUUAUUUUCAAGAGGUAAGUAAAAUGUAUGUUACUUGAAUUUUUCAAAGUUUAUGGAAAAUUUGCUUUAAUUCAAAGUUUAGCAAAAAUUAGGUAUCAUUGAUAUAUAUUUGAGAUUGUAAUUAGGAAUAUAGUUAGUGUUGAAGAAAGUGGAAUUUUGAAUGGGUUUUUUAGAUAAAGACUUAAAUUAAGGAUUUGAGUUAUGAUUUCUCCAUUUUAAAAUAUUUUCGAGUGAGAUAAUACACUGGUUUUACCCUUCAACUUCUGCCAGAAAAGUGUUAUUUCUGUCAAUGAUUUUUGUGACAAUUUUUCCAUAUACAGAAACAGAUGCCGAAUUUCAAUACUAUAAUAUUUUAGUACUAUUUUUGUCAAACCUUCAUUUUCUCCGAUUUUUUUAUAUUUGAAUGAAUUAUUUAAAUCUAGGUAUUGGAUUAAAUUAUCUAUAGGGUUUAGGUUAUAUAACAUAGUGAUUUUAAGAAAGUGCUGAGUAAUCUAAGGGAUUUGAUUAUGCAGAGUGAUUGGUUGCUGAUGAUAAAAAAGAAGAUAAAUUAGGAAAAUAGAGAUGCAAGAAUAAAUAUAAAAGUUGAGGAACUAGACAGUGGAUUUGCAUUAAUUUAAUUGCCAUGUUUUAAUUUGAGUAAUUAUAACAUUAUUUUAGGCAGUGGUGUGAAAACUUGGAAAGUCUCUUCAAUUUAACUAGAUGCUUAUCCUAGAUUCGUGAGUGAAAAAACUUAAAAAAAUAUUGAUAAAGUGCUUACACUAUUAUAUUACGUGCAAGUAUGUGAAUUAUUUGUUCAAUUACAUGAUUAAUGUAGAAAAUAUUCUUUCACUAUGAUAUAUGUAGAAUUCAAAGAUUGUAUAUGGAGUAUUGUGAAUUGGAAUACAAGACAUGUGAUAAUAAGAUCGACCAAAAAAGUAACCAUGAUUAUAUAUUUCUUCUGGUUCACUAACGAGCCAUUCCAUGUUCUAUACUACACUGAGGGAUCUUAACUAUGGAUAAAGGGGUCUCGACGGUGUACAUAUAAUUCAUUGAAGGGUCUUGACCGUGUUCUAGAAUUAAUCAUGAGAGGUCUUGGAUAUCCACUUCCGUUUGCUAAACGAGCUUGAGGCCCGUUUCGAAAGUUCUUUGCACGAUGGGCAGUCUACGCUCAUAUGACCAGAUUACAGAUGUUAGACAAAAUGUACAUUUUUGGUAUAUUUUUCAGUACAUUUGAUAUGAUGAGAUUAUAAUAUGGAUAUCAAUUGAUAUUAAUAUCAUUAUUAUGAGAUGAUAUUUUAUAGUGUUAUGAGUAUGUUUCACUUUGGGCUAUAAAUGUGUGAUAUUAUCUUGUGAAUUAUUAAAUGAUAUGAACUUGAUAUUCAAUAAAAAUGUAUAAAUGAGAAAAUUUAAUUAUUUUCGAACUUCUCCAUUCACCGAGCCAUCAACUCAUAUAUUUUUUCAAGAUUUUCCCUACAGGCAGCAAUUAGUUCUUUAGGGCUUGAAGAACCUGAUGAUUUCAAAGUGAUAGUCACAUGAUGUAUUGAGUGAUAUGAUUCAUAUUGAUGAUGAAUAAAGUAAUUAAUUUGAGCCCAUUACAUUAUUUUUUUUUUCCAUAAGCAUCUUAUUUAACGUAUAUUUAGUAGUAAAUCAUAAUCAGCCUUGUUGGUGGAUUUGGUAUCUAUUCAGUAUCUAUCAUCGGCACCGUCACGUUUCUAAUCCACCAGGGUCGCAGAAAAGAGUGAAAAAUAGAUUUUAUUUUUAUUUUUUGGCAAAGAGCUAAACAAGAAAAAAUGGAGAGAAUGGCUUUGCAUAAGCAUAUAAAAUUGAGUGUAUUUUUUUGUAUUCCUUUUCUUCUCCUGUUGAUAUAGUGAGCAAUUGAUGUGAAUUUUUGGGCACAGGCAUAAUUGUCAAACCAUGUAAAUUCUUGUGUCGUACUUGCACUUAGUUUUUGCUAUUUUUUAUUUCUUCUCAUUUUAAAUUAUUUUACAUCAUAUUGAUGUUGGCAGAGUUAGUAGCCUCUAAUUCCUGACAACCGAUAUAAGAGUUUCAGAAUUUGAGUGGGAGUAAUGGUGACAAAUGAGAAGAUAUCCAAAAUCGAUAAGUUUGAUGGUACAAACUUUGGAUUUCGGAGAAUGCAAAUGGAGGGCUAUUUCUACCAGAAAGAUCUGUAUAAACAACUUCAUGAAAAGUUGAAGGACAUUGCAGAUGAUGAGCGGGAGUAACAUGAUUGAAAGGCUCUUUGCCUAUAAUGCUGAUAUUAUCCAAGUCGGUCGCUUUCAACAUAAAAAAAGAGAAAACAGCAUCUCUCAUGAUGACCCUAUCUUGCAUGUAUGAACGGCUGUUUGCAGCAAAUAAAGUUCAUUUAAUUAAAAAGUUGUUUACUAUGAAGAUGGCAGAAGGCGAAGGAUUUGGAGAACAGCUAAGCGACUUCAUUGAAGUGAUGGACCAACUAAACACAAUCAAAAUAGCUUUUAGUGAUGAGGUUCGAGCUUUAAUGAUUCUCGGGCAAUUACCCGAGAUUUAGAAUGGUCCAUUUACAUAAAUUAAUAGCUUUGUUGGAAAGUCUAAAUUGAAGUUUAAAGAUGUCUUGAGUAUUAUUUUGACUAAG